GAACGGGGGAAAAAAUGUAGAUCGAGUCGCGUGAAAAGAGUCACCACAAAUGACCGGUGACGCUUUUCGAACGACGGUUUUAUCAGGGACCAACCAAACAAGGGAGAUACACGAAAGUCCAGUAGCCGUCCUUCGUCUUGGGCAACUGCAUCGGUAAUCGCGGCUCGCUAUAGCUUUCAAGAAAAAGGUAAAGAAACCCAAAGACGCCCGACAGAAAUUAAUGCUUGACCGCAAUUUUAAAUGACACUCCUCGUCAAGGUUACUAUUGAUUCGACGUCUUUGUAAUGAUAGGACGAAAAUAUUAUCGCUAUACAAUGCGGCACAACUUGAUUACACAACGUAAAAUUAACAUAUUUGUACAACCUUUUGAUUGCGCAACCGCUUAACGAUUUUGUUUAGUAUUCGGCGAGAAUUUGUAGUAACUCUGCGUAGUGAAAGGAAAAGUGUGAAUCCUUCGUAUUGCUGUUCAAGAUUGCGAAAUGUCAGUCUACAAAAUAGACAAAAGUGUCCGCGUGUAUGUUCACGUGUAUGUGAAUUUUAUCAUUCGUCGGAGUGUACCGGGAUGAAUGGGCGCCGACACACGAGAUGCGGUCCUCAUCUUUCAGCGGAUAUAACAUCUAAUUCGGAGAAUCGAACUAGUCUACGACCUCGCUUAUUCAGUUUGGGUCGUUUCAAUUCAGGCCGAUCGCGAAAGCGAGAGUGCGCGCCCCGAAGGAUACUAGACAAGUGUAACUCGUAUGCGAUGUGGGACACCGAAAACCCAUUGACGAACAUAUCUCUUCAGCCUGCCUCCCGAAGAGCGCUCGCAACUAAUUUACUGGUGAUCCGGACCUAAUGACCGCACCAACGAAUCAUUAUCAAGUCAUCAAAUCAUCGCUUGGCCGUCCGCUAAACGUUCUUGUCCGGCUCGGAAAAAAAGCCAGGAGCGAAAUAAUAUGGCGAGCAGUAAAACUUUCAUAUUUCGAAAUGACGUACGUCCAGCUUGUUAAGCAAUAGUUACUGAUAGAACGACGAAUCAUCAAAUUGGAAGUUGCAAUGUGUUACGACAUGUGAAGCUCUGAAGAAAGAAGUAAGCCGAUUAUCUCCCAUCGGUUAAAUUAUGAGCCACUCAUCUGUUUUCCUUUCGGAGAGAUAAUUAAGUUCGAAAGUAAAAUAUAAAAUGCAAUCAGCCACAACAAAAUAUUCAAAAUGCCUCCGGCGAUAGACAUCGGACGACAAGCACAUUCUCUUUAAAGACUUCGAGGUGAACUUCGUGCAGUGAUAACGGCGCUAUUAUAUUUUUCAUAAACAAAAUUUUUCAUAAACACAAUUUUUUAAUCUUUUUUUUUAAUCAUUUAUCCUUAUUGAGAAAAAAAAUUUCUCCAGUAAAAUCGUUACUUCUAUUUUUCAUCGUUAAAUUCUUUAAUAAUGGAAAAUUGAUUAUCGUUACAUCCGUUAUAUAAAAAGUAUUAUAUUAUUAACUUUUCAGCAGUCUCCGAAAUAGCUUGCAUAUGGGUCAGUCAAGAUCGUUAUCGAACUUGUCUCUUGAACCUGCAUGUCGAUGUAUGUCAGUAAGAGUUCUAUUACAGUCUACAGUUCUAUUAUAAAUCGGUCGUAGUCUGGACGAUUGUGGCCUAUACGUUCCAGUGAUUAUCAUUUAUCGCUAAUCGCGAUUAUUAUCAAAUUAAUUCGGCCGACAGAAAUUGUCAGGUUACAGAACAUAGAAUAAUAAUAUAAAUACAUAUUUUGUCAUACUUUUACUUUACAUCAAUAAUAUUUCUAUUCUUCGACAACGCAAUCUUUAUAUAAACGAUGGAUAUAGAACUUUUACUGUUUAACUAAGAUUGUAACAUAGUUUAUCUUUAUGCAGUGUUUUUAUGUAAUUUCCAACAAUUGAUAAAAUACGAAAAUGGAUGUGAGAUGAGAAUACCGGAGAACACAUGGAAAGAACAGGUUUUGCUCAAGUGCCUAAAAAUUUAGCUAGAUACAGAUCUGAAAAUAAUUUUAUUUAAUCAUUAAAUUAGUUGUAUAGAACGCUUACAGCAUAAUAAAUAAUGUUGGCCUUCUAGUAACCAGUUUGAGUGUGCUACAUAUUUAUUGUGAUGGUCAAACUAAAUUAUAUUCAAAUCUGUAUCUAAGGUCCGAUUCCACAACUCACGGUUAAAUUAACUGGCCGAUUAUUCCAUUGGAAUUGACCAAUCGUAUUUGUCGUUAAGCAAAAUUAACAAAUACGUUUUAAUACGUUAGUAUUAUAAAGCCAUUCUUUCCGUGUAACUACGUAAAAAUUAUCCUUCUCCCUGCCCCUCCCAAAAUAAUAAAGAUAUAAUGAGCUUCAAAGAAGUCACUCUGAUAAAAAAAAUUACUAUACAAUAUCUCAAUAAGCAUAAAAUUCUCACUUACCAUAUUAUUACAAUAAUAUUCAAUAACAUGUGACGUUCAAAUAAUUAUUAAUAAAUUAAUAAAUUUAACGUGCAUAGUAUACAACAUUAAUAUGAACAAACUUUAAUUUGCAGAUAAUGUUUCUAAAACAUUUUAAUAAUGUUUCGAAAAAAAAAUAAAAACCAUGUAUUAAUAUUUUUAAAAUAUUUUUAAAAUAUCUACAUCAUAUUAUUUUAAAACAUAAGAAAUACACAUGAAAUUAACAUUUCCAA
Molecule: long non-coding RNA, 2630 nt
Organism: Monomorium pharaonis (pharaoh ant)
Lineage: Eukaryota; Metazoa; Arthropoda; Insecta; Hymenoptera; Formicidae
Exons: 2
Source: RefSeq, a predicted model, not a curated record